UUAUUAUAGUAAAAAAAAGUUAAUUUCAAAAGUAAAUGAAAUCAUUAAAUUUAAAUAAUUUGGCGGUAUUUUAAGUAGUUAGAGGAACUUGUUAAAUAAAUGAUAAUCCACGAUAGGAGGGUCUUAUAAUAAAUUUUAUGUAUUGUUGUUUAAGAUUAUUUUAAGAGAAAUUAAUUAUAAAUUUUAAUUUAAGAAUAAUUCAAAUCAAAAUGUAGAUUUUAUAAGAUUAAAUGAGUUACAAUUAAGAUGAUAUUGGAUUAGUGAUUUUAAAAAUUAUUAUGAGAGGAUUUAAUAGUAAAUUUAUAAAAUUAUGUAAAUUGAAAGUUAAAUAAAAUAUG
Molecule: ribosomal RNA, 338 nt
Filed under: Aphaenogaster texana
Lineage: Eukaryota; Metazoa; Arthropoda; Insecta; Hymenoptera; Formicidae
Description: partial 12S ribosomal RNA
Source: RNAcentral